Molecule: long non-coding RNA, 857 nt
Filed under: Phasianus colchicus (ring-necked pheasant)
Lineage: Eukaryota; Metazoa; Chordata; Aves; Galliformes; Phasianidae
Description: lncRNA (ENSPCLG00000015198.1)
Source: RNAcentral
CUCUAUGGGGCAGCUAUGGGUCGCUAUGGGGUUGCUAUGGGGCGGCUAUGGGUCGCAAUGGGGCGGCUAUGGGGUCGCUGUGGGUCGCUAUGGGGCGCUAAGGGGCAGCUAUGGGGUCACUAUGGCGUCUCUAUGGGGCGGCUGUGGGGUCGCUAUGGGGUGCAGUGGGGUUGCUAUGGGGCGGCUAUGGGGAGCUAUGGGGUCUCUGUGGGUGGCUGUGGGGCGCUAUGGGGUGGCUAUGGGGUCUCUGUGGGUCUCUAUGGGGUGGCUGUGGGGCAGCUAUGGGGCGGCUAUGGGGUGCAGUGGGGUCAGUAUGGGGCGGCUAUGGGCGCUAUGGGGUCUCUGUGGGUCGCUAUGGGGUGGCUAUGGGUCUCUGUGGGUCACUAUGGGGCGGCUAUGGGGUGCAAUGGGGUCGCUAUGGGGUCUCUGUGGGUCGCUAUAGGUCGCUAUGGGGUGGCUAUGGGUCGCUAUGGGGCAGCUAUGGGUCUUGAUGGUCGGCUAUGGGUCGCUGUGGGGUGCAAUGGGGUUGGCUAUAGGGCAGCUAUGGGGCGGCUGUGGGGUGGCUAUGGGUCGCAAUGGGGGGCUAUGGUGUAUCUAUGGGGUGGCUAUGGGGUCGCUGUGGGUCACUGUGGGGUGGCUCUGGGUCGCUAUGGGGCGGCAAUGGGUGUCUGUGGGGUGGCUAUGGGGUGCAAUGUGGUCGCUAUGGGUGGCUAUGGGGCUGCUGUGGGGUCUUUAUGGGUGGCUAUGGGGUGGCUAUGGGUCUCUAUGGGGUGCUGUGGGGUGGCUAUGGGUCUCUAUGGAGCGGUUAUGGGGUCGCUGUGGGGCGCUAUGGGGCAGCUAUGGGGCGCAAAUGGGGU